Zootermopsis nevadensis is the source of this 352-nucleotide non-coding RNA. The record is from RefSeq and is a predicted model, not a curated record. Lineage: Eukaryota; Metazoa; Arthropoda; Insecta; Blattodea; Termopsidae.
GUGAAAGAAGAAGUUAUCAAGUAUUUGAAGUACCAACUCUAACAACUCCUACAAGUGACAUCAUGUUAUGUGUGUACAGCCAUGUGCAUUUUCAUCACUGUGCCUGUCCAACCGUAUCAUCUUUUGAACAAACAGACAAAUUUUCAUAAUACUUGGUAUGAAUAUAAAGCCACUUGGGAUCACUCCACUUAUGUACUUCUUAAACAUCCUUUUGUCAAUGUCAACAUGAUUUUGGAUGAAUACAGAUAAUCAACAUACCAAAAAUCCUGUAUGAAAUUAUUUGUUUCAUAUGAUGUUAACUUUGUAAACAGGUAAUAAUACAAAACCAAUAAAAUCAAAUCAUAAUAACAAA